Molecule: non-coding RNA, 2650 nt
Organism: Oryza sativa Japonica Group (Japanese rice)
Lineage: Eukaryota; Viridiplantae; Streptophyta; Magnoliopsida; Poales; Poaceae
Source: RefSeq, a predicted model, not a curated record
CCCGAGGCCCCACCUGUCAGUUCCUCCCCCAACCUCCAGCUCCCUAGCCGAAACCGCCGUUUCCUCCCCACGUCGCCAAAUCCACCCACGUCGCCGCCGAUCCUAACCCCUCCCGCUCGCGCCCUCGCGCCCAAACCGCAUGAAAUCGGUUCCCCUCCACCUCAUCUACACUUUCCCCACGUUUCCCCCAAAAAUCGGGCCGGGAUCGAGCUCCACUUCGCCCAUGAUGCCGCCCACGCCGCCGGCAGUUGCCGCCCCAAUCCGCCACUCCCCGGCUUCGCCGUCGCUCCCUCGGUCUAUAAAAAGCAUCCACGGGCUCCCUUCUCUCUUUUCCCCAAUUCCCCCGAGCUCUCCCGUGCCACAAAUCGCGCCCGCACCACGAGCCCGUGCGCCGCCGCUUUCCGGCGAGGUCCGGCCGUCGCUCCUCUCCGCCCUAGCCACCGCCGCUAGCAUCGCCACGCCUUGCUCUACCCCGGCCUCCACUCCGUUCUCCCGUUCCGCCACCAGAACCACCUCCCCACCGUGACCCCGAGCCACUUUUGCCAUUGUCACCUUCAGCCGCUCGCGGCGGGCAAUGGACGCCACGUCGGGCCGGCUCGUCUCCACCUUCAGCUUCGCAAGGCCGUGAGGAUGCCCGGCCGCCACUCCGCCCUCGCCAUCCGCUGCCGAGACUCCGUUCUCCCCGCGCGAGGUCACGGCGCCCCUUGGCCGCCCCUCUGUUGGCACCGCCCGUCGCCGGAGCGCCGCCGCCUCUCUCCGCCCGAGCUUCGCCGGCUGCCUCCAACCAUUGCCGUGCCCUCGCGUGUAGUUCUCGUCGUUUCGGAAGUCCGCGGUCGCGAGGAAAAGAGUUCGGAAGAUCAAAGUGAAGAAGCAAGGCAAGUCACACAUUCCCCUUGAGCAUGUUGAUCCCAAUUUAUAAAUGUUUUACCGUUUGCAAAUAAACAUGCAUGUCUUGCUAAUUACAUGGGAUCAGGGUUUACCUAUCUGCUCGCUUGUGCCAUGUUUACUUGAUAUCUGUCCUUUGUCAAUAUUGGGUAAUAAAUCGACUAGCUCAUGUUACUUAUGUGACAUAGCUAGAACUAUAUGCUUAGCCAUGCUUAAUUACCACUAGCUCAGUUGAUGGGAUAAUUACAGUAUUAGAUAUUUUUUUAGUAUCAAAAUGAGCUGCGUGCUCGAGACAUCUGGCCAUGCUUCAUUGUCGUAAUUACCCAACUAAAAUGCGACUGAUUGGUGGGUUGUGGGUGCAUGGUUUUGCUAGUCGCACCCAUGACAAUUAAGGACCGGUUCACGGGAUGCCCUGGAAGAAUUUAUCGUACUUACCACAAGCCAGCGUGGGCAACGGCUGGGCUUGUAGUAUAGCUUUCCUCUAGCCGACGUACCCAGGCGAGGGUGGGCGUGAUGGAGUUGGGUCGGCCGGGGUGUCUGGUUGAUCGGCUUCCGGAUUCACCGCGGCACGAAAGGGGGGCUACCCGUUGCCUGCUGGGGGCGGGGGCGAACCCUAAGGUGUGGUGCGAUCGGUUAGAGGGGGUUAUGCGAAGGGUCCUGUCACGGCCUCUUUCCGGUAUGUCGUGGUGACAUGUCGGCGCACGGAAACGUGUCGUGGGGCUGUGUCUUGUGGGUACAGUUGUACAUCUCUGCUCAGAGUAAAACUAUUCGAAUAGCCGUGCCCGCGGUUAUGGGCGGUCGACCAGAUUCACCGUGAUUAGUCCCACCUUAAUAAAUCGACUCAAUGCACUGUAGUUCAGGUGGGUUGGUUGGGCCUGUUCAACGUGGUGUAGCGUUGAUCAGUGGAGAUUUAAUGUUACUUUAAUUACUCAACAGUUUUACUGCUUUGCUCAAUAAAAUGUUUUACAACCGCCUUUAUGCAAAUAGCCACAAACCGUCCUUGUGUUCCCCUUGCACGUCUGCAUCGUUGGUGUGGCUUGCUGAGUACGGUAGUUGUACUUAGUCUUACUAUUAUUCCCCCUUUUCAGAAGUGUAGUGCUUCUGAGCUGAAGACAGAGUUAGAAGACCAAGGCUCAGACCCCAGUUAAGUUUUGCCUGUGGAGUGGAGCUGAAGCCCCGCUAGGAUUGCCUUUUUCCGCUGCUGCCGUUUUCUUUCGGUGUGAGGACUAAGUGCCUCUUCUGUAAGUAUUUACGCUUUUAUUUAUGUUUGGAACUGUAUAUUACUUGUCGUUUUGUGUACCCUGGCUGGUCUUGGACAGGGAUUUAAUGCACAAAAUAGUCUGGAAAUUUGGGCUAAAUUUCUAGGCGUGUGUACCCGACGACAAAAAACUGAAGGAUCUGAUACUCACCGAAGCUCAUCAAACUCAGUAUUCAAUUCAUCCCGGCACUACCAAAAUGUACCAGGACCUCAAAGAGAAAUUCUGGUGGGCCAGCAUGAGAAGAGAAAUAGCCGAAUUCGUCGCACUCUGCGAUGUUUGUCAACGAGUCAAAGCAGAACAUCAGCGACCCGCUGGACUGCUCUAGCCCCUUCAGAUCCCGGAAUGGAAAUGGGAAGAAAUCGGAAUGUUUACCCAACGGAUUUCCUAGAAAACUUCCACAAUUUUUUUUGCCCCCAAAACUUUCAGAUUUGUAACCAUCGAAUCGUUUCGAGAUUUGUGCAUGAAGAGAAAAAAAUUGCUAGAUAAAGAAAUUUUCACACAUGCCA